Molecule: ribosomal RNA, 118 nt
Filed under: Chloroflexota bacterium
Lineage: Bacteria; Bacillati; Chloroflexota
Also listed under: 1 other name
Source: RNAcentral
CCCGGUGACUCUGGCGAAGCGGACCCACCCGUUCCCAUCCCGAACACGGAAGUGAAACGUUUCAGCGCCGACGAUACUGGAGGGGCAGCCCUCUGUGGAAAAUAGGUCGUUGCCGGGG